AUACUGAGGGAAAGAUAUAAUAUCUUAAUAUUUUCUAUAAAAUUUUAAAAAUAUCUCAUUUAUUUUUAAUGGAUCAAAAUAUUUUUAUUUGUUUAAAAAUAAUAAUAAUUUUUUUUAUUCUUUGGCGUUCACUAAUGGGAUUAUAGUUUUAGAAAAAUAUUUUGAGAAAUAAAAGAUAAAUUUAAAAUUUUGAAUAGUAAUAGAAAGUAUAUAAGUAAAAAACUUUUAAGGUUGUGCUUGAUUUCUUUGAUUUUUUUUUUUUUCGAUCUAAAAGAAAAGUUUCUGAAUGUUUGAUUUGUCGUAAAAUAAAUUUUUAACGUAAAAGAUAGUUUACAGAUUUGAAUGAAAAUAUGGCUUCUCAUUUUUCUCUUAGUUUGUGCUGAAUAUAAAAACUUGCUCAAUAAAAAAACGUCACACCGACCGUCCCUAGAGCAAGUGGCAAAGGGCUUGGUAGUUGGUACCCGAGAUCUAAAUUCAAAUCCUAGUUGAUUUAUAUUUUCAGUUAAAUUUAUUUCUAAAUGAAAUAAAUGAAGCGGAUAGUGUGCUACGUAUCUCUAAAAAAAAAUAAAAAAUAAAGAAAUAAAAAAACGUCACGUACCCAAUUAUAUUAUUGGGGUGCACGAGAAAGGCCGGGGCUACUGUACUAAUCUACUAUUUAAUCAUUUCCACCUGUUAGAUUACACUAUCUAACCAACCACUUACUCAAUUCUAGAAAAUCACUAGCAUCUUAACCGUAUAUUUUUUCAUCCAACGGCCAAAAAAACGAAUAGCAUUUAUUGUAUAUCAAUAAACAACCGCACAUCUUUAUAUUUAUAGUUUAUUUAUAAAUAUAAACUAUAAUAAUAGCAUAUAUUGUAUAUCAAUAAUAUAUAAUACAUAGGAUAAAAGAAAAUACAUAUAAUAAUUUAUUAUUAUUAUUAUUAUUUCAACUAAACAAUCGGGAUGAAAAUUUUUUUUCUUUUCCUACAAACCAAAUAAUAAAUAGUGUAAUUUUUUUCUCCCACAAAAAAUUUUUCACCCAUAAAUACUUUUCAUAAUUUUACAUGGAACUAAACAGCCUUAAGUUGUACACCCCUCAUCUUAAAAUUUAACAUUUUAUAAUUUUCAUAUUUUUUUAAAUUAAUAAUAUAAGAAUUAAUUAUUGGCUCAUUUAUAAGGGAGUAUAAAAUAGGGUUAAUUGCAUAGUAAAUUACAAAUAUAUUCCAACAAAGUUCAAUUUUCAUAUAUUGAUCUUACAAAAGUUUCGAUAUUUUCAAAUAUGUCAUUGUCAUUGAAAAUUCGGUAGAAAAUUUUAAUUAACCAUCGGUUAAAUAUUUAACCCUAAUUAGUUAAUGAGGUAAAUUGACCUUUUUACCCUCUUCAAUAAUAGUUGGAAUUUUUGGAAGUAUAUAUUUGUGAUGACAAAAAGGUUACUUCACUUAUAAAAUAGACAGUAUUUUUACAGUAACAAAUCAGAGGGAUAUAUUUGAAAAUAUUAAGAUUUUUGUAAAGAUAAUAUAUGAAAGUUGAACUUUAUAGGGAUAUAUUUAUAAUUUACUAUAUUUGCAAGAAUAUGUAUGAAGUUAAUCCUAUAAAAUAUACACUCCUUUUUGGGUAUU
This 1598-nucleotide long non-coding RNA is filed under the name Ananas comosus (pineapple). RNAcentral's name for it is "long non-coding RNA (ACOM_LNC006364)". The record is from RNAcentral. Lineage: Eukaryota; Viridiplantae; Streptophyta; Magnoliopsida; Poales; Bromeliaceae.